This 498-nucleotide ribosomal RNA is filed under the name uncultured bacterium. RNAcentral describes it as "partial 16S ribosomal RNA". It matches the Rfam family "Bacterial small subunit ribosomal RNA", at positions 28 to 507 of the family's 1533-position model. The record is from RNAcentral.
GACGAACGCUGGCGGCGUGCCUAAUACAUGCAAGUCGAGCGGACGAACCGAAAGCUUGCUUUUUAUUCGUUAGCGGCGGACGGGUGAGUAACACGUGGGCAACCUGCCCUGUAGCCGGGGAUACCACCGAGAAAUCGGUGCUAAUACCGGAUAACACGAAAUGUCGCAUGACGUUUCGUUGAAAGACGGCGCAAGCUGUCGCUACAGGAUUGGCCCGCGGCGCAUUAGCUAGUUGGUAAGGUAACGGCCCACCAAGGCGACGAUGCGUAGCCGACCUGAGAGGGUGAUCGGCCACACUGGGACUGAGACACGGCCCAGACUCCUACGGGAGGCAGCAGUAAGGAAUCUUCCGCAAUGGACGAAAGUCUGACGGAGCAACGCCGCGUGAGCGAAGAAGGCCUUCGGGUCGUAAAGCUCUGUUGUUAGGGAAGAACGAGUAACGCAGUAACUGGCGUUACCGUGACGGUACCUAACGAGAAAGCCACGGCUAACUACGUG